UGGAUGUUGAAGACUUAUUUGACACAGACGAUUAUAAUAUUUUGCUGAACUCUUUUUCAUUUUUAAGAAAUUGAGACUUUUUUUUUUUUUUUUUUAACGUAGGAACCCGCAGCCGCUACUGCAAACUACGUGAACCAAGGUAAACCGCACCUAAGCGCGACAGGCUCUGAUCCAGGAGGCAUAAUCACCAAUUCUGCUCCCUUCGGGAGUCGAACCUGUGACCAAGAGGAUACUUGUCCCCUCUUUAACCAGCUGAACCAACC
This 263-nucleotide long non-coding RNA is filed under the name Daucus carota (carrot). RNAcentral's name for it is "long non-coding RNA (DCAR_LNC004663)". The record is from RNAcentral. Lineage: Eukaryota; Viridiplantae; Streptophyta; Magnoliopsida; Apiales; Apiaceae.